This 201-nucleotide long non-coding RNA is filed under the name Elaeis guineensis (African oil palm). RNAcentral's name for it is "long non-coding RNA (EGUI_LNC016448)". The record is from RNAcentral. Lineage: Eukaryota; Viridiplantae; Streptophyta; Magnoliopsida; Arecales; Arecaceae.
UGUUGGUAUUUGGUUGCCAGGAUGUCGGGUGAUGACUCGAAAAUACCGUCGGCUGAUCUGGUGUCUUGUGGAAGUCGGAUGUCGGCUGCCACCUCUGACAGUGAGUCGAUGAUAUGGGUUCGGCCGCUCAGCCGGUUGGAAAUAGUAUUGGCCUGUUUGGUCGGUAUACUUUUGACCGGAUAUUGUCGGCAGCCAUUGUCG